AUGCCAUGGUAAGGGCAAUUGGUGCAAAGCAUCUUAAAUCUAUCCCAUGCUCGGUAGAAAUUUUCAUCCUUUUGUUGUUGAAAAACAGCAAUUCUUUGUCUUCCUUU
Corchorus capsularis is the source of this 107-nucleotide small nucleolar RNA. It matches the Rfam family "Plant small nucleolar RNA R71". From Rfam's summary of the family: R71 is a member of the C/D box family of snoRNAs containing the C (UGAUGA) and D (CUGA) box motifs. Multiple nearly identical copies of this snoRNA have been identified in Arabidopsis, and it is thought to function as a 2'-O-ribose methylation guide for 18S ribosomal RNA. NCBI's taxonomy places the organism in Eukaryota, Viridiplantae, Streptophyta, Magnoliopsida, Malvales, Malvaceae. The record is from Rfam.